This 255-nucleotide ribosomal RNA is filed under the name uncultured bacterium. RNAcentral describes it as "partial 16S ribosomal RNA". It matches the Rfam family "Bacterial small subunit ribosomal RNA", at positions 524 to 776 of the family's 1533-position model. The record is from RNAcentral.
UACGAAGGGGGCUAGCGUUGCUCGGAAUCACUGGGCGUAAAGCGCACGUAGGCGGAUCUUUAAGUCAGGGGUGAAAUCCCAAGGCUCAACCUUGGAACUGCCUUUGAUACUGGGGGAUCUCGAGUCCGGAAGAGGUGAGUGGAACUGCGAGUGUAGAGGUGAAAUUCGUAGAUAUUCGCAAGAACACCAGUGGCGAAGGCGGCUCACUGGUCCGGUACUGACGCUGAGGUGCGAAAGCGUGGGGGAGCAAACAGG